CAUGAUUUUGAUUACAAUAAACACACCUCUCCUUUAGCUUCUUUAUAUCUAUCUCCCUAUAUUUUUCCUCAAGUCUUGAUCUCAAUAAUUGAUAACGAAGAAUGCCUAUUUCCUCACUAUCGAUCAAUAUAUUCUCAUACCAUAUUCCUGUCAUUACUACAAAACUCAAGGAAACUUUUCAGUAGCAAAGCACAAUGAAAUAAACAUGAAGGGUAAAAGAUUUUUUAUAUACAAAAUAAAAUAAAAAUAACAGAAAAAAAUAAAAAUAAAAAUCCUAUAUACAAUAAAUUGUUUUGUCAAAAUUAAUCAACAAUCCCCGGCAACGGCGCCAAAAACUUGAUGACAAUUUUAGCAAGUGUACUAAAUUCGUCGUUAAGUAAUAAAAUUUAUAA
This 392-nucleotide long non-coding RNA is filed under the name Trifolium pratense (red clover). Its description in RNAcentral is "long non-coding RNA (TPRA_LNC002850)". The record is from RNAcentral. Lineage: Eukaryota; Viridiplantae; Streptophyta; Magnoliopsida; Fabales; Fabaceae.